RNAcentral lists this ribosomal RNA (481 nucleotides) under uncultured bacterium. RNAcentral's name for it is "partial 16S ribosomal RNA". It matches the Rfam family "Bacterial small subunit ribosomal RNA", at positions 28 to 507 of the family's 1533-position model. The record is from RNAcentral.
GACGAACGUUGGCGGCGUGCUUAAUACAUGCAAGUCAACUGAAGCAGUGGUAGCAAUAUCGCUGUGGAGGUGGCGCACGGGUGAGUAACACGUAGGUAAUCUGCCUUUAGGUCUGGCAUAACUCUGGGAAACCGGGGCUAAUAGCAGAUGAUGCAGCGGCUCGACAUCGAGACAGUUGUUAAAGCUAUGGCGCCUGAAGAUGAGCCUGCGUCUGAUUAGCUAGUUGGCGGGGUAACGGCCCACCAAGGCAACGAUCAUUAGCUGGUCUGAGAGGCUGAUCAGCCACACUGGAACUGAGACACGGUCCAGACUCCUACGGGAGGCAGCAGUAAGGAAUAUUGCGCAAUGGAAGAAAUCCUGAAGCAGCAACGCCGCGUGAGAGACGGAGGGCUUUUGCUUGUAAACCUCUGUAGUGAGAGAAAAAAAUCCCAAUCUUUGGGACAUGAUGGUAUCUCAAAAGUAAGCCCCGGCUAACUACGUG